CACGUAGGGUGCGAGCGUUGUCCGGAAUUAUUGGGCGUAAAGGGCUCGUAGGCGGUCUGUCGCGUCGGUAGUGAAAACUCAGGGCUUAACCCUGAGCCUGCUUCCGAUACGGGCAGACUAGAGGUAUGCAGGGGAGAAUGGAAUUCCUGGUGUAGCGGUGAAAUGCGCAGAUAUCAGGAGGAACACCGGUGGCGAAGGCGGUUCUCUGGGCAUUACCUGACGCUGAGGAGCGAAAGUGUGGGGAGCGAACAGG
Molecule: ribosomal RNA, 253 nt
Filed under: uncultured bacterium
Lineage: Bacteria
Description: partial 16S ribosomal RNA
Rfam family: Bacterial small subunit ribosomal RNA
Source: RNAcentral